RNAcentral lists this ribosomal RNA (996 nucleotides) under Triticum aestivum (bread wheat). Its description in RNAcentral is "partial small subunit ribosomal RNA". Lineage: Eukaryota; Viridiplantae; Streptophyta; Magnoliopsida; Poales; Poaceae. The record is from RNAcentral.
UGGUUCCGGCAGGCGCGCCUCGCCGCCGUCAAAUGGAUCCUUGAAACUCGGGGCUGCUUCGGGUUCGGCCACCGCACGGCGUACCUGGCCAUCGCCUACUUCGACCGCUUCUUCCUCCGGCGACGUGUCGAUAGGGCGGCCAUGCCGUGGGCGGCGCGCCUCCUGUCCGUGGCCUGCGUCUCCGUGGCGGCCAAGAUGGAGGAGUACUGCGCGCCGGCGCUGUUGGAGCUCGACGCCGGCGGCGGCUACGAGUUCUGGUCCGCCUCCGUCCGCCGGAUGGAGCUGCUCGUGCUGUCCACGCUCGGUUGGCGCAUGGCCGCCGUUACGCCGUUCGACUACCUCCCUUGCUUCUCCUCCCGGCUCGACCGGCACGACGGCCGUGGCGGCGGCGGGCAUGACCCCGCCCGCGUCGCCCUCAAGUCCAUCGGCUCCAUCUUUGCCACAGCCGAAGCCGGCAGUGUGCUGGAUUACAGGCCAUCUACUGUGGCUGCAGCUGCAAUCUUGGCUGCAUCCUAUGAAGCUCUACUGACCAAAGAAGCACUGGAGUCCAAGAUGGACAAUCUAUCUCCAUCAUGCCCCAUUGAGAAGGAGCAUGCACAUGCCUGCUACAGCAUGAUGGUUGACGACUUGAAAAGCAGAAUUAUGAGCCAUGGCAAGAGAUCAUUGCCAUGUUCAGACUCCAAUGAAGUUGCCAUCAGUACAUAUGAUUCUGUUCUUGUUGAUGAUGUUGCCGACACCGCCGCCUUCAUCGCAGCUGUGUCGGGUCUUCGGCUUCGGCCUGACCCGCCUCGUCGCCGGCGUGCACAAGACGGCGCAGUCGAGGAAGCUCGGCAGCAGCGUGGCGUGCGCGCUCCGCAGCGGCGCCCUGUCGGCGCUGUCGUACGUGGCGCCGGAGCUGCGCGCGCCGGGGGGCACGGCCGCGGCGGUGACGCAGAAAACCGGGAAAAAGCCUUGGCUGGUGGCUUUCUUGGGGUAACUUGCACUGACUGCACAUAA